UCAAUGCUCCAGGAAUGACUUCCGUACGUCCUCUCCAUCUCUGUGUGCACAGCAUAUUAGAUACUUGCAUGAUGUAUUUGGAGCCUGCUAAGUUCGUCGCAAAGCUGAGCGAACUGAAAACCGAUGGAAGCUCCUGCUAUUCAAGUGCAAUCUCGGUGCUGGGUACUUCUCCAACUCAGGAAGUUUUGAGAAACUGCAAGAAGACGCCUUCACUUAUGCCUUCAUCCUCAAGUUAGUGGCCCUUUUUCAGGGAAUUUCUGAAGCAGC
This is a long non-coding RNA of Lolium rigidum, 267 nucleotides long. RefSeq lists it as uncharacterized. The record is from RefSeq and is a predicted model, not a curated record. Lineage: Eukaryota; Viridiplantae; Streptophyta; Magnoliopsida; Poales; Poaceae. The transcript has 3 exons.